RNAcentral lists this ribosomal RNA (537 nucleotides) under uncultured Alphaproteobacteria bacterium. Its description in RNAcentral is "partial 16S ribosomal RNA". Lineage: Bacteria; Pseudomonadati; Pseudomonadota; Alphaproteobacteria. The record is from RNAcentral.
GGCGGCCGCGGGAAUUCGAUUUACCGCGGCUGCUGGCACGGAGUUAGCCGAGCUUAUUCUCCCGGUACUGUCAUUAUCAUCCCGGGUAAAAGAGCUUUACAACCCUAAGGCCUUCAUCACUCACGCGGCAUUGCUGGAUCAGGCUUUCGCCCAUUGUCCAAUAUUCCCCACUGCUGCCUCCCGUAGGAGUCUGGGCCGUGUCUCAGUCCCAGUGUGGCUGAUCAUCCUCUCAGACCAGCUAAGGAUCGUCGCCUUGGUGCGCCUUUACCACACCAACUAGCUAAUCCUACGCGGGCUCAUCCCUCGGCGAUAAAUCUUUGGACUUACGUCGUCAUCCGGUAUUAGCAGUCAUUUCUAACUGUUAUUCCGAACCAAGGGGCAGAUUCCCACGCGUUACGCACCCGUGCGCCACUAAGGCCGAAGCCUUCGUUCGACUUGCAUGUAUUAGGCAUGCCGCCAGCGUUCGUUCUGAGCCAUGAUCAAACUCUAAUCACUAGUGAAUUCGCGGCCGCCUGCAGGUCGACCAUAUGGGAGAGC